Molecule: ribosomal RNA, 486 nt
Filed under: uncultured bacterium
Lineage: Bacteria
Description: partial 16S ribosomal RNA
Rfam family: Bacterial small subunit ribosomal RNA
Source: RNAcentral
AUCGAACGCUGGCGGCAUGCCUUACACAUGCAAGUCGAACGGCAGCACGGUUGCUUGCGCCUGGUGGCGAGUGGCGAACGGGUGAGUAAUACAUCGGAACAUGUCCUGUAGUGGGGAAUAGCCCGGCGAAAGCCGGAUUAAUACCGCAUACGAUCUACGUAUGAAAGCGGGGGGCCUUGGUGCCUCGCGCUAUAGGGUUGGCGGAUGGGUGAUGAGCUAGGUGGUGGGGUAAAGGCCUACCAAGGCGACGAUCAGUAGCCGAUCUGAGGGGAGGACGCGCACCAGUGGAGCUGAACCACCGCCCAGACGCCUACGGGAGGCCGCAGUGCGGAAUUUUGGCAAAUGGGGGGAAGCAUGAUCCAGCAGUGCAGGCUGUGUGAAGCAAGCCCUCGGGUUGUAAAGCACUUUUGUCGGGAAAGAAAUCCUUCGCCCUAAUCCGGUCGGGGGGUGACGGUACCGGGAGAAUAAGCACCGGCUAACUACGUG